Molecule: non-coding RNA, 90 nt
Filed under: Pseudomonas sp. URMO17WK12:I6
Lineage: Bacteria; Pseudomonadati; Pseudomonadota; Gammaproteobacteria; Pseudomonadales; Pseudomonadaceae
Source: RNAcentral
UGUGGGAGCGGGCUUGCCCGCGAUAGCGAUCUGACAGCCAACCGCUAUGUUGAAUGUCAGGACGUCAUCGCGGGCAAGCCCGCUCCCACA